Molecule: long non-coding RNA, 1066 nt
Filed under: Sus scrofa (pig)
Lineage: Eukaryota; Metazoa; Chordata; Mammalia; Artiodactyla; Suidae
Description: lncRNA (ENSSSCG00030052440.1)
Source: RNAcentral
CUGUGGAUAGGCUAUAUCACAGGGAGAAUGCCAGAGCCUGGCUCAACGGAAGUGUGGAGAGUUCUCCUAAAAGCAGCCAGUCUCUGAUGACUUAGAAGCCGUUUGACCUGAUAUGUCCCCAAAGUUGUGUGGCUCCUCCAUUGAGUGUGUCAGAGGGCCCCUUGGAGAACGCUGUGUUUCACAUACAUUCAGACACCACUGUGUUCCAUGGACCCACUGCAGAGUCCUGUGGUAUGCACUGCAGCUCUUGAUUUAACCAACUGCCACCACCUGGGAUGGACAGAUCGGUACAGACACCCUGAGGGUCCUCGGGCACACAACGCAUGAGUAGAAGGAAAAGAUAACACCUUCAAGUCACCCCAUUUCCAGAGAGAUUUCCAAAACCAGUUUCAGGGAUCCUUCCCAUGCCAGGCUGUUGGUGGCAGCCUCUCCUGGAGUGAUGAGCCACAAUGUAAACCAGAGCCAGGGGCCAGUGUACUGGAGAUAUAUUUCUCCUAUCUACUUGUGCUGAACAAGAUUGGGGUCUCUCUUCAGAAGAGGGGAACUCCUCUUUUCUUUUCCAGGGUCCAAGUCAGAGUUGGUAAUCACACCUCCAGAAGGGAGAGGCAAGUCUAGAGGUGCCAGCCUGGCCAGGGAGGCCGGGAAGUGGAGAGAUGGGCAUGAGAGCCGUGCAGCCGUGGAAGGUGAGGGCAGCACCCAUCCCCAAGGAUGAGGCUACAUGCAAGAGGCAUCUCCGAAAGAGACCAGCUUCUGUACACCUCAAGACAAUUAUGGGAAGUUAUGUUCUGCUACCCCCAAAAUGACAUCUGGAAUGACCAGCUGUGGGGGAUACUGGGAAACGUCUAGUACUGCGUGUUUGUGUUCGUCUCAUACACAUGGAGAUGUGAAGCCAAGAUAUCUUGAUAUCAGUGGAUGCCAAGAGGUAACCAGUACAGGAAUCCAUGCAUUGGCAAGAAGCUGCCACCAGCUCAAGUGCCUGGACCUAAGCUCUACAGGAAUAAGCAAAAGAUGGUAGGAAUUUUGCAGAUUAUCCUUUUUUAUCCAGCAACUUUAAGAAAAUGAAUCA